RNAcentral lists this signal recognition particle RNA (298 nucleotides) under Microcebus murinus (gray mouse lemur). Its description in RNAcentral is "Metazoan signal recognition particle RNA (ENSMICG00000046049.1)". It matches the Rfam family "Metazoan signal recognition particle RNA". From Rfam's summary of the family: The signal recognition particle (SRP) is a universally conserved ribonucleoprotein. It is involved in the co-translational targeting of proteins to membranes. Lineage: Eukaryota; Metazoa; Chordata; Mammalia; Primates; Cheirogaleidae. The record is from RNAcentral.
GCCGAACGCGGUGGCGUGGGCCUUAUAGUCACAGCUACUCAGGAGGCUGAGAUGGGAGGAUCACUUGAGCCUAGGAGUUCUGGGCUGCAGUGCACUAUGCCAAUGGGUGUCUACACUAAGUUCGGCAUCAAUAUGGUGACCUCCUGGGAGCCGGGGACCAUCAGGUUGCCUAAGGAGGGGUAAACCGACCCAGGUCGGAAACAGAGCAGUUCAAAACUCCUGUGCUGAUCAGUAGUGGCACUGCGCUAUGAAUAGCCACUGCACUCCACCCUGGGCAACAUAGGGAGACCCCGUCUCA